This 2403-nucleotide long non-coding RNA is filed under the name Gallus gallus (chicken). Its description in RNAcentral is "lncRNA (ENSGALG00000049286.2)". The record is from RNAcentral. Lineage: Eukaryota; Metazoa; Chordata; Aves; Galliformes; Phasianidae.
AAACCUGAACUUAAAGAAUCACCCCUCCCCCCAGCUGAUGCCAAUUAGGUGGCACAUCUCAGGUGGUGAUGGUUGGGAUUGGACUGCGUGUGAACUGCUCUGCUUUGGGUGCCCUGCACUGGGGCAGUGCUCCUUGCUCCUCACUCCCAUUGGGACCCCACUGCUCUGCUCCAGCAGGAUGACCACGGCUGGCCGGGGUUUCCCCCAGAGUUUCAGCUAUGAAUGGUUGAGCACUUUACAACUCCAUUUCUGCCACGAGGCUCUAGAAGGGCUUUGGAUGUGAUGCAUAACGUCUUUCCAAGCAGCAGAAGGUGGGUUUGUGCUGCUCCAGCUUCUCCUGCAGAGAGGAGAAACGUCCCUGAGCUGGAGGACACAUGAAGUCCCAAAGCCUGGCAGUGGCACCUGGGGAUUUGCUGCUCCAGAUACAAUGCAGCACCAUUCUGACAUCAGCAGAAAUGUGCUAACACUGCCAAUGGUUUCCUGGAAAGACCCAGAAGUAAGCAACGCUGGGGGCAUACGCUGUCCUCCUUUGCUUUAGUGGUGUAUGUUUCUGGAGAGCUGGGAAUGACUGCACGCAGGAAGCUGGGAAGACAGCAGGACAGCGCUGCCCCAUCCUUUCUGUACCCCGGCGCACAGACCCAGCACAGCCAGCUGCCCCUGCGGACAGGCUGAGAGAUGAGAGGGCUUUUUUUUUCCCCUGAUGACUGCCCUCCCUGUGAUCUUAGCCUCUAUUUGUAACAGCAGCAGAUCCAUGUCCGCAGACAAAAUCUGCUUUUCAAGCGACGAUGUCCCUUUUUAUAACAAAUGCUGCCAGCUCCUAGAAGUGAUAGCUCACCAUCGGCAAAAGGACACUGGGAUGCUCUCCGAGAUGCCGUGCCGAAUAGAUCUUCCACUGUACAGCAACAAAUCAAAUUUAGGGAGAAAGAAUUUGAAAACAAAUUACCAGUGAGAUAUUUCAAGCUGACAGCAAUUUGGAGCAACUUAGGUCUGUCUGAAAAGCCUCAGUACACUUAAGCUGAUAACUCCCCCUUUGAUCACAUUUUGGUGGCAAUACUUGUCAUUGAUGGCAGCACGUCUCCCUUUGGAGGAAGUUCCGAUGUGUGGCAGUGGAAUUUCCAGCUCAGAGAGGAGAGAGACCUUUGGAUUCACCCUGGAGAUUUUCAAGACCCAACUGGAUACCUUCCCCUGCAGCCUACAGUAGUGAACCUGCUUGGCAAGGAGCUUGCUAUGUAACCUCCAGAUGUCCCUUCCGCCCCCUGUGGUUCUGUGAUCCUGUAACUCAGGCACUGGGAAUGGUGGCACACGAGCUUGGGCUUUGCCCACCUCGUGGUCAGCACUUGGCAUGAUGACCUUCAAGGUCUUCCCCAAUCUAAACAACUCUGUGAUUCUCCUUAUUUGAGAACAGCACCAAUUUGCUCUGUUUCCCUGCAACACCAUGAAGGCCACUUGUACCUAUUUCCAUCUGCACAGGGGAGGGACGUGUUUCACCAACAACCCAUUGCUACCAUGUUGAGCCCCCUGUGAAUGAGCAGGGUGCUUUAAUCACGGAGGGAGGCACGUCAGCAGCUCCAUCAGAGAGCAGAGAGGAAGGGUGGUGAGGAAUGUGGCGGGGUGGAAGGGAAUGCGGCAGUGCUGACAUGCCCCGAGCAGCACAGACAUAAAAGGAGUGCACUAGUCUGUAAUUUGCCUGCAAUUUCUCCUCGGGAAGCAAUGAAAUUUUACGACUAGCCCUGUCCAUGCCCAUGUAUUUCUUCCAGAAAGAGGCAGAUAAAAAUAGGCUGGAACUGCACUGAGAAAAAGAGAACGUUGACAUCCUUUGAAAUCUCCUUGCAGCCAACAGAUGCCAGCCCGGUUUGGCCAAGCACUUACCAGGGGUGUCGGGGGGGCUGAGCAAUGGUUGGGUCCCCCUGUGCAAGGAUGGCUCAUUGGCACAGACCUCUCUGCCUGGAGAAGCGGGCCAAGACGGGUGGUGUGUUCAGCCUUGUGUCCAGCAUGGGGGAAUAAGGUGUUGAUUGGGAAGGAGAGGAGCCUUGAGCCAACAGUGUUGGUUAUCUUGGGGUCCUCUCACACCCUAAAUUAAAACCGCACAGUACUUGUACUGCACUGCUUCCCACCAGGAUAAAGAAAGCAGUCUACAAUGCUUAUUUAUUCAAGUGGUGCCUUAGAAACUAAAAUCUUCUAUUCUCCACGGAUCUGAAGCGCUCAGUGAUAUAACAGAGGCUCUAUUUAAAAUUAAGCAUUCUCUCCCCAUGCCCUUGGCUGAGCUUUGCUGCCCUGCACAGUCCCACCUCUCUGGGAGCCACGUUUCCGCGGUGCUGCGUGCUCUUAAGUCCUCGCAGCGUUUUAGGAUCUUCCCAGAUGGAAAGUGCUAUAGAAAUGUAAAACUUUAUUAAUUAAAGGCUG